CGAUGAUGCAUAGCCCGAGUUGAGAGACUGAUCGGGCCACAUUGGGGACUGAGACACGGGCCCAAAACUCCGUACGGGGAGGCAGCAGUAGGGAAUCUUCCACAAUGGACGCAAGUCUGAUGGAGCAACGCCGCGUGAGUGAAGUAAGGUUUUCGGAUACGUAAAGCUCUGUUGUUGGUGAAGAAGGAUAGAGGUAGUAACUGGCCUUUUAUUUGACGGUAAUCAACCAGAAGUCACGGCUAACUACGUGCCAGCAGCCGCGGUAAU
This 267-nucleotide ribosomal RNA is filed under the name uncultured Lactobacillus sp. Its description in RNAcentral is "partial 16S ribosomal RNA". It matches the Rfam family "Bacterial small subunit ribosomal RNA", at positions 274 to 524 of the family's 1533-position model. Lineage: Bacteria; Bacillati; Bacillota; Bacilli; Lactobacillales; Lactobacillaceae. The record is from RNAcentral.